RNAcentral lists this ribosomal RNA (863 nucleotides) under uncultured bacterium. RNAcentral's name for it is "bacterial SSU rRNA". It matches the Rfam family "Bacterial small subunit ribosomal RNA", at positions 67 to 924 of the family's 1533-position model. The record is from RNAcentral.
CGGCAGCACGGACUUCGGUCUGGUGGCGAGUGGCGAACGGGUGAGUAAUGCGCCGGAACGUAUCCAGUAGAGGGGGAUAACGCAGCGAAAGCUGUGCUAAUACCGCAUACGCCCUGAGGGGGAAAGCAUGGGAUCUUCGGACCAUGCGUUAUUGGAGCGGCCGACGUCUGAUUAGCUAGUAGGUGAGGUAAAGGCUCACCUAGGCGAUGAUCAGUAGCUGGUCUGAGAGGAUGAUCAGCCACACUGGAACUGAGAGACGGUCCAGACUCCUACGGGAGGCAGCAGUGGGGAAUUUUGGACAAUGGGCGCAAGCCUGAUCCAGCCAUUCCGCGUGAGUGAAGAAGGCCUUCGGGUUGUAAAGCUCUUUCGGCAGGGAAGAAAAGGUUCUGGUUAAUAGCUGGAACUGCUGACGGUACCUGAAGAAGAAGCACCGGCUAACUACGUGCCAGCAGCCGCGGUAAUACGUAGGGUGCGAGCGUUAAUCGGAAUUACUGGGCGUAAAGGGUGCGCAGGCGGCUCUGUAAGUCUGACGUGAAAUCCCCGGGCUUAACCUGGGAACUGCGUUGGAAACUGUAGAGCUAGAGUGUAGCAGAGGGGGGUAGAAUUCCACGUGUAGCAGUGAAAUGCGUAGAGAUGUGGAGGAAUACCGAUGGCGAAGGCAGCCCCCUGGGUUAACACUGACGCUCAGGCACGAAAGCGUGGGUAGCAAACAGGAUUAGAUACCCUGGUAGUCCACGCCCUAAACGAUGUCAACUAGUUGUUGGGGAGGGAGACCUCCUUGGUAACGCAGCUAACGCGUGAAGUUGACCGCCUGGGGAGUACGGUCGCAAGAUUAAAACUCAAAGGAAUUGACGGGGGCCCGC